Molecule: small RNA, 712 nt
Filed under: Cryptococcus neoformans H99
Lineage: Eukaryota; Fungi; Basidiomycota; Tremellomycetes; Tremellales; Cryptococcaceae
Description: Cryptococcus neoformans var. grubii H99 hypothetical RNA
Source: RNAcentral
UUAACAGCAAGCAACAGCGAACGCCGAAGACGGGCGAAAGCGUGAACGGGCCGAAAAGUCGGCAACGGCCAUCCCAGACAUAGGUUCAAUUCAAGAAAACUGACGAUGCGAGCGUAUAAUGUAGGGGAACGGAAGCACAACGAGUAAUGCAGAAAACAGAGACCAAGAAGGGAAAGACACAAAACAUGCAAGAGUGUGUCAACCAGAAGCGUCGAGCUUGUUUCCGUAUGCUCAUAUGCCGUAUUAACAUACAGCAGACUACGUACAGCAGAAGAAGAAAGCAGGGGACGGGGAGCAUAGCUCAAGAGCCGGGAGACAGGAGACAGGAAAGAGGGAAAAAGGAAAAACAAUCGACAACAAGCGACAAGCCGACGUCUCGGAUCUCGCAUCCUGGAUUCCUGGAUGCUAUUGGCAGAACCAGGAACGAGAGGGGUGGCAGGGAGCAAGGAGCAGCAGGGCAAGAAAGGACCACGAAUCGCGAGCGACGCGUCCUGCAGUUGCUUUAAUUUAUUCAUCCUUCACCCUCCUCUUCUGUCCUUUCCUUUUUUUCUUGUGCCUUGCACGAAGGUGAUUCUUAAUAAUCACCGGCGAACGAUCGGUUGCAUAUAACAGUGGAUGCGACUAUUUCAUUUUAUUGGUUUUUUAUAUCGAUGUGAAAGAGGGCGGACGGCGGCUAUUCCGUCCUGAUUAUGUAUACGUUGCCUUGUUCUUG